AACGAACGCUGGCGGCAUGCCUAACACAUGCAAGUCGAACGAGACCUUCGGGUCUAGUGUCGCACGGGUGCGUAACGCGUGGGAACCUGCCCUUAGGUUCGGAAUAACUCCCCGAAAGGGGUGCUAAUACCGGAUAAUGUCUUCGGACCAAAGAUUUAUCGCCUUUGGAUGGGCCCGCGUUGGAUUAGCUAGUUGGUAGGGUAAAAGCCUACCAAGGCGACGAUCCAUAGCUGGUCUGAGAGGAUGAUCAGCCACACUGGGACUGAGACACGGCCCAGACUCCUACGGGAGGCAGCAGUGGGGAAUAUUGGACAAUGGGCGAGAGACUGAUCCAGCAAUGCCGCGUGAGUGAUGAAGGCCUUAGGGUUGUAAAGCUCUUUUACCCGGGAUGAUAAUGACAGUACCGGGAGAAUAAGCUCCGGCUAACUCCGUG
RNAcentral lists this ribosomal RNA (433 nucleotides) under uncultured bacterium. RNAcentral's name for it is "partial 16S ribosomal RNA". It matches the Rfam family "Bacterial small subunit ribosomal RNA", at positions 29 to 507 of the family's 1533-position model. The record is from RNAcentral.